RNAcentral lists this small nucleolar RNA (113 nucleotides) under Echinops telfairi (small Madagascar hedgehog). Its description in RNAcentral is "Small nucleolar RNA SNORA61 (ENSETEG00000025932.1)". The record is from RNAcentral. Lineage: Eukaryota; Metazoa; Chordata; Mammalia; Afrosoricida; Tenrecidae.
ACCCUCCAGAUUCUGUCCCUCUCCAACCUGAACGCUGAUCUGAGUGGUUAUAAAAGGAGGAACAAUAAAAUGGAUGUACAUUCUUUAUGACACACAGCUAGUUUCAAACAAAC